RNAcentral lists this ribosomal RNA (496 nucleotides) under uncultured bacterium. RNAcentral's name for it is "partial 16S ribosomal RNA". It matches the Rfam family "Bacterial small subunit ribosomal RNA", at positions 28 to 506 of the family's 1533-position model. The record is from RNAcentral.
GAUGAACGCUGGCGGCGUGCCUAAUACAUGCAAGUCGAGCGAACAGACGAGGAGCUUGCUCCUCUGACGUUAGCGGCGGACGGGUGAGUAACACGUGGAUAACCUACCUAUAAGACUGGGAUAACUUCGGGAAACCGGAGCUAAUACCGGAUAAUAUAUUGAACCGCAUGGUUCAAUAGUGAAAGACGGUUUUGCUGUCACUUAUAGAUGGAUCCGCGCCGCAUUAGCUAGUUGGUAAGGUAACGGCUUACCAAGGCAACGAUGCGUAGCCGACCUGAGAGGGGGAUCGGCCACACGGGAAAUGAGACACGGUCCAAACCCCCACGGGGGGCAGGAGGAGGGAAUCUUCCGAAAGGGGCGAAAGCCUGACGGAGCAACGCCGCGUGGGUGAUGAAGGUCUGCGGAUCGUAAAACUCUUUUUUUGGGGAAAAAAAAAUGUGUAAGUAACUAUGCAGGUCUGGACGGUACCAAAUCAAAAAGCCCCGGCUAAAUCCGG